Molecule: non-coding RNA, 456 nt
Organism: Scomber scombrus (Atlantic mackerel)
Lineage: Eukaryota; Metazoa; Chordata; Actinopteri; Scombriformes; Scombridae
Source: the annotation of a RefSeq genome assembly
AUGUUCUCUGUAGCUCUGAUGCUGCUGCUGGCAGCUGGAUCCUGUGUGUACAGUAUUGAUCUCAUCCAGCCAGACUCAAUGGUUGUGCAGCCUGGACAGUCUUUGACCAUCACCUGUCAGGUCUCUGGUUAUUCUCUGACUGAUGACAGCUAUGCAACAGGUUGGAUCAGACAGCGUGAAGGAAAACCAAUGGACUGGAUUAUUCAUCAGUGGGGAGGAGGUAGCUUUAACCAAAAUGAUGCUCUGAAGAACAAGUUCAGCGCCAGCAGAGACACUUCUGUUAGAACAGUGACUAUUAAAGGACAGAAUCUGCAGCCUGAGGACACAGCUGUGUAUUACUGUCUUUUGCACAACUUGGAUCAGACAGCCUGCAGGGAAAGGACUGGACUGUAUUGGAAUGAAAGUUGGACACAUAUCAUACUACAAAGACUGACUAAAGAGGAUUGUGCAGCCUGA